This is a long non-coding RNA of Lontra canadensis (Northern American river otter), 461 nucleotides long. RefSeq lists it as uncharacterized. NCBI's taxonomy places the organism in Eukaryota, Metazoa, Chordata, Mammalia, Carnivora, Mustelidae. The record is from RefSeq and is a predicted model, not a curated record. The transcript has 3 exons.
GUGUAUCACCAAGAGUAACACGUGUGUGCUUUUCUGGUUAUUUUCAGAGCUCGGAUCCCGGGUCCUGCAGGGAUGUAUGAAGUAUCUUCCAACUGUUUUGAGUGGUCUCAGUUUCCCGAAGUGAAACCUUGGAUAUAUAUUUGCCUUGAUGAGAAGCCUGUUGAUUCCUAGUAGGGGCCAAAGAUUCUGAAUGUUUUCCAGGCUCAAGAAGUGUAUCGCCAAAUUUCCCUCCCAUCAGUGAUUAUGACACAACACUUAGAAAAAGUCCUCCCAAAAAUGUCCCUGCCUGUUCGCCCCAGUGAGGAACAGUUUAAAAGUUGGAGAGUCCACACAACCCAGAUCCCAGGUCAUGUGUUGGGAGGCAAAGCCUCUCCCAUUGCCCUUUCCUUUCUCCUCUGCUUGGCUGGUCCUUAAUAUCAUGAUGUGAAAGGCCCCAGCAUUGCAGUUACGGAGGGAGAGCU